GUGGAUUAGAUACCCGAGUAGUCCACGCCGUAAACGAUGCGCACUAGGUAUGAGAGGUUUUAACGCCGAUUGUGCCGGAGCAAAAGUGCUAAGUGCGCCGCCUGGGGAGUACGGCCGCAAGGCUAAAACUCAAAGGAAUUGACGGGGGCUCACACAAGCGGUGGAGCAUGUGGAUUAAUUCGAAGCAACGCGAAGAACCUUACCUGGGUUUGACAUGCUAGGAUGCUCUCUUGGAAACAGGAGUAGGCUGCCUUCGGGUGAAACUAGCACAGGUGCUGCACGGUUGUCGUCAACU
RNAcentral lists this ribosomal RNA (295 nucleotides) under uncultured bacterium. RNAcentral's name for it is "partial 16S ribosomal RNA". It matches the Rfam family "Bacterial small subunit ribosomal RNA", at positions 773 to 1060 of the family's 1533-position model. The record is from RNAcentral.